GUGCUACUUCCAUGGAACAUAUGCUAAAAACAUUGGAACAAUACACAGAAGAUUAGCAUGCCCCUCUGCAAGGACGACACUCACAUUCAUAAAGCACUGAAUGGGUGG
Small nuclear RNA from Nannospalax galili (Upper Galilee mountains blind mole rat), 108 nucleotides. NCBI's taxonomy places the organism in Eukaryota, Metazoa, Chordata, Mammalia, Rodentia, Spalacidae. The record is from Ensembl.